GGCUUCAUCGUCUAACGGCUAGGACGCGGGAUUCUCAUUCCUGAAAUCGGAGUUCGAUUCUCCGUGAAGUCA
This 72-nucleotide transfer RNA is filed under the name Minisyncoccota bacterium. RNAcentral's name for it is "tRNA-Glu". It matches the Rfam family "tRNA". Rfam says of the family: Transfer RNA (tRNA) molecules are approximately 80 nucleotides in length. The record is from RNAcentral. Lineage: Bacteria; Bacillati; Minisyncoccota.